UACGGAGGAUGCGAGCGUUAUCCGGAUUUAUUGGGUUUAAAGGGUGCGUAGGCGGUCCGUUAAGUCAGCGGUAAAAUUGCGGGGCUCAACCCCGUCAAGCCGUUGAAACUGGCAGACUUGAGUUGGCGAGAAGUACGCGGAAUGCGCGGUGUAGCGGUGAAAUGCAUAGAUAUCGCGCAGAACUCCGAUUGCGAAGGCAGCGUACCGGCGCCACACUGACGCUGAGGCACGAAAGCGUGGGGAUCGAACAGG
This 252-nucleotide ribosomal RNA is filed under the name uncultured bacterium. RNAcentral's name for it is "partial 16S ribosomal RNA". It matches the Rfam family "Bacterial small subunit ribosomal RNA", at positions 524 to 776 of the family's 1533-position model. The record is from RNAcentral.